RNAcentral lists this ribosomal RNA (253 nucleotides) under uncultured microorganism. RNAcentral's name for it is "partial 16S ribosomal RNA". It matches the Rfam family "Bacterial small subunit ribosomal RNA", at positions 524 to 776 of the family's 1533-position model. The record is from RNAcentral.
UACGGAGGGUGCAAGCGUUAAUCGGAAUUACUGGGCGUAAAGCGUACGUAGGCGGCUUGUUAAGCAAGAUGUGAAAUCCCCGGGCUCAACCUGGGAAUGGCAUUUUGAACUGGCAGGCUCGAGUUCUGAAGAGGGUGGUAGAAUUUCCAGUGUAGCGGUGAAAUGCGUAGAUAUUGGAAGGAACACCGGUGGCGAAGGCGGCCACCUGGUCAGAAACUGACGCUGAGGUACGAAAGCGUGGGGAGCAAACAGG